UGCCCUACUACUGGCCCUACUACUGCUCCUAUUACUGUACACUACUGACCUACUACUGUACCCUACAAACUGUAUCCUACAACUGUGCCCUACUACUGUGCCCUACUGAACCCUACUACUGUACCUUAAAAACUGUACUCUACAACUGUGCCCUACUGCUGUAUCCUACUACGGAACCCUACUACUGUGCCCUACUGUACCCUACUGCUGUACCCACUGCUGUACCCUACUGCUGUACCCUACUACUUUACCCCACUGCUGGCUACAUUUAGAUGAUUUGAAAGAGACUAGAAUAAACUUCCCAGUUAUGUAUACAGUACAUAACACUACUAUUGUCUCAUAAUUGUGACGUCUGUAUGCAGGCUUUACUAUGACAUAUACUACGGGUUUCCCAAACUGACUGCCUAAUUGUGUAAAAACACCAGCAAAUCACCUCCAUGUGAUUUUAUUUUGGAAAUCUGUUCCAAAGUAUUCCCACGCAUUAUAGAGGUUUAUUAUAUAAACUAAUUUAAGCAAGGUUUGAAAUGAUUAUGUUUUAGUCAAAUAUUAUAUAUGUUUGGUCUUUUUGCGGUCUACACAAAUUAUUAGUCAUUUUUUCCCAUAUUUCAUAUUUGUUUACGAUGUGUUUACUAUGAUGUAACUGUCUGGGUUGCAUAAGAGUUAGAAACCUGAGUGUAGAUUGAUCAAAUAAAAACUUUGACCCACUUGCAUACAUAUAAUAGUUUUGCACAGCCAGAUGUGGUCAAAUAUAUAUUAGUCUCCUUGCACUUUACAAUGAAGUGCAAUGGAGCAGAAUGUGGUUGAAUGGCUAUUUUUCCCCGUAGGCACCUGCAACUUACCACAAUAUAUUUGAUGGCAUCUGUAAGCAACAAUACACUAUCACCUACGUAGUCUAUUAGAUGGCUAUAUUAUGUGUCUGUGUGCGUGUGUUUAGACGGGGCUUAGAGACAGAGAAGAUCCACUAACAGAGCCUGUUCCAGAGCUGGGCCCAUGGAAUAUCAGCUUCUCAAGUUCUUCAUCAUACUAAUCAUCCUCCUCAUCCUGUCUUCCUGUUACCUGGCCUUCCGUGUCUGCAGCCUGGAGCAGCAGCUGUCCUUCCUCAACAACCCUACACGGCCCCCCCGAGAGAGGUGAGUGCUGCUCUGCACUGUGAUCCAAUACCACUUGACUGUCUCCCUUUACGGACACAUUCCUCUCUGUGACCACCUCCAGACUAUGCAAACAGACUAUUUAUUUUUCAGGAUUUUACUUCACUGUAGACUAGAAGAGGGCAAACCCCCAACUCCACCAUUUUGGUGUAGGUAAAAGACAAUGGCAGGUGAAAGACAAUGGGCAGGCCGAUUGAAGAGCCAGCAAACUACACUCAAACCAAUUGUGGAUGGACUGAAAAGCCCGGGAUUGGUGGAAAUGGCUGGGAGUCAGGACUGGGAAGAAUUCUGAUUGGUGGAGAGAUUGGUCUGAUGGUUUUUAUUGAAGAUUUCUGKCCAUGUUCGCCAACAUUAGAGUCAACUGUGUUUUUUCCCUCCCGUCAACUCAACCAAGAAUGAACCACAGGACUUCAGAGAAAAGUCAAAACCAUUCAUCUUUCAGAAAAAAAUAUAAAUGGUACUUUCAAGGAAAGGAUUUGGAUGCAUUAACACACUGACAGUGGAAGAAGCCAAUAUCGUUGGCUUUACAGAAUUUUAAAAAGUAUUGCCCAUAUGAACUUAUGAGGAUCAGUCCACUAUUUCAAAUGUUCAUCAUCAUCAAUGAGGUCUAACUAUGUUGACAUUCUAACAGGCAUGUUAUUCCUGAUAAACGGUGCAAUACAAUUAUGCAAAGUAUCCAGCCUAGACUGACUUUUUAAAUGUUGAAAUAUUGUUCUUUAACUCUGUUUGUGUCAUCAUGACACCACAGGUAUAUGUUUACCAAAGUGGGUAGGAUGGUACUCUUUCAUGUCCAAAAAAUAUUGUUUAGUAUAACAGCUUGUCUUUUGUUUUAAUUUGUAUAAAUGUCAGUUGUGAGCUUUGUAUUGUAAGCUACCUUUAGCCAGACACAAUGUGUCACAGUGAGUGAUCAGUCUUGUAUCUAAAUACUGAACACAGUCRUCUGAAUGAGUAAACAAUGAAGACAUUGACUGAAGUGAAAAAUAAGAUGAUGUUUUCUUUCUUACACUCUGUAAACUUAAAAGUUAAAUCUGCAUUUCAGCCGGGAAGAAAACUAGCAAAAAAAAGAUUUCUAGUCCUUUUACUCAGAGUGUCUGAACAGAUGCAUUAGGAACAAACACUCCCCACUUUGAGUAUUACAGUAAUAUUGUUGAGGAAACAGAGCUGCAGUGUGUACAGUAUACUUUACUACCAUAACCAUUAGUAUGUCUUAUCUGGUCUGUUUUGGGUCUAGACACAUCUGCAACUAUGUAAUAGUGGUCACUGAUCUUCAGUCAAUGGUGAAAGAACAAACUGUCCCUGUGACUCUGAGAACAGAUGAACCCUGUAGCACCCCUGAACAACCCAUUACAAGACUACACUGUACAACCCAACUGUGACGGUUUCUAAUAAACAGCCAUUUGAUCUUGA
Salvelinus sp. IW2-2015 is the source of this 2555-nucleotide non-coding RNA. NCBI's taxonomy places the organism in Eukaryota, Metazoa, Chordata, Actinopteri, Salmoniformes, Salmonidae. The record is from RefSeq and is a predicted model, not a curated record.